RNAcentral lists this long non-coding RNA (215 nucleotides) under Populus trichocarpa (black cottonwood). RNAcentral's name for it is "long non-coding RNA (PTRI_LNC002480)". The record is from RNAcentral. Lineage: Eukaryota; Viridiplantae; Streptophyta; Magnoliopsida; Malpighiales; Salicaceae.
GCCAUCCUAUGAAUGGUCUUUGAUAGACAGACGUGGCUUCUCCUGCUACAAGCAUUCCUGGUCUAUCUUCGAAGUAGGAAACGCAGACAGAUAACUUCGACGGGCUAGCAAGAUCAUCUAAUUUUCUGUCAAUUGAUCAGACCUGACAACCAGGCAAGCCUACCUCCUCCUCCUCCUCUUAUUCUGAUUCUGAUUCUGAUCAUCUGAUCCAUCCC